Molecule: ribosomal RNA, 484 nt
Filed under: Cambarus tenebrosus
Lineage: Eukaryota; Metazoa; Arthropoda; Malacostraca; Decapoda; Cambaridae
Description: partial 16S ribosomal RNA
Rfam family: Bacterial large subunit ribosomal RNA
Source: RNAcentral
GACCGUGCGAAGGUAGCAUAAUCCUUAGUUUUUUAAUUGAAGGCUAGAAUGAAUGGUUGGACAAGAAAUAAUCUGUCUUAAAUUAAUAUAUUGAAUUUAACUUUUAAGUGAAAAGGCUUAAAUAAUCUGAAGGGACGAUAAGACCCUAUAAAACUUUAUAUUGAAAAGUGAUAGGUAUAUUUUGUUUAAAGAAUUAUUACUUUAAAGUAUUUGGUUGGGGUGACAAAAAUAGAAGAUAAAGUAACUGUUUUUUUUUUAUACAAUAAUGUUUGGGUUAGUGAUCCUAAAAUGGAUUAAAGAUUAAGUUACUUUAGGGAUAACAGCGUAAUUUUCUUUAAGAGUUCUUAUCGAUAAGAAAGUUUGCGACCUCGAUGUUGAAUUAAAGGUUCUUUAUGGAGUAGAGACUAUAAAAGAAGGUCUGUUCGACCUUUAAAACUUUACAUGAUUUGAGUUCAGACCGGUGUGAGCCAGGUUGGUUUCUAUC